GACGAACGCUGGCGGCGUGCCUAAUACAUGCAAGUAGAACGCACAGUUUAUACCGUAGCUUGCUACACCAUAGACUGUGAGUUGCGAACGGGUGAGUAACGCGUAGGUAACCUGCCUGGUAGCGGGGGAUAACUAUUGGAAACGAUAGCUAAUACCGCAUAAUAUUGAUUAUUGCAUGAUAAUUAAUUGAAAGGUGCAAUUGCACCACUACCAGAUGGACCUGCGUUGUAUUAGCUAGUAGGUGAGGUAACGGCUCACCUAGGCGACGAUACAUAGCCGACCUGAGAGGGUGAUCGGCCACACUGGGACUGAGACACGGCCCAGACUCCUACGGGAGGCAGCAGUAGGGAAUCUUCGGCAAUGGACGAAAGUCUGACCGAGCAACGCCGCGUGAGUGAAGAAGGGUUUCGGAUCGUAAAGCUCUGUUGUAAGAGAAGAACGGGUGUGAGAGUGGAAAGUUCACACUGUGACGGUAUCUGACCAGAAAGGGACGGCUAACUACGUG
RNAcentral lists this ribosomal RNA (505 nucleotides) under uncultured bacterium. RNAcentral describes it as "partial 16S ribosomal RNA". It matches the Rfam family "Bacterial small subunit ribosomal RNA", at positions 28 to 507 of the family's 1533-position model. The record is from RNAcentral.